ACUCAAAGGAAUUGACGGGGGCCCGCACAAGCGGUGGAGCAUGUGGUUUAAUUCGACGCAACGCGAAGAACCUUACCUGGGUUUGAACUUCAGAGGACAGACGGUGAAAGCCGUUCUCCCUUCGGGGCCGCUGGAGAGGUGCUGCAUGGCUGUCGUCAGCUCGUGUCGUGAGAUGUUGGGUUAAGUCCCGUAACGAGCGCAACCCCUAUCCUUAGUUGCCAGCGGGUCAAGCCGGGAACUCUAAGGAAACCGCCGGUGAUAAACCGGAGGAAGGUGGGGAUGACGUCAAGUCCUCAUGGCCUUUAUGCCCAGGGCUACACACGUGCUACAAUGGACGGUACAAAGGGUUGCCAAAUCGCAAGGUGGAGCUAAUCCCAAAAAGCCGUUCUCAGUUCGGAUUGGGGGCUGCAACUCGCCCCCAUGAAGGUGGAAUCGCUAGUAAUCGCGGAUCAGCACGCCGCGGUGAAUACGUUCCCGGGCCUUGUACACACCGCCCGU
This 498-nucleotide ribosomal RNA is filed under the name uncultured bacterium. RNAcentral describes it as "partial 16S ribosomal RNA". It matches the Rfam family "Bacterial small subunit ribosomal RNA", at positions 899 to 1397 of the family's 1533-position model. The record is from RNAcentral.